GGGCUAUUACACAAUACAAUAUGAAGGCUGUCCGCAGCUGGAGUAUUUUAUUACCCUUGUCUUUUGCGCACUUGUUGUUUCCUGGGCGGGUUCGCUCGCCACCAGGACCACCAAAUAAACCUUUUUUAUGCAGUUGCAAUCAGCGUCAGUACAAACAAUGUAAAUCAUUUACAACUUUCAACAACGGAUCUCUUGGUUCUGGCAUCGAUGAAGAACGCAGCGAAAUGCGAUACGUAGUGUGAAUUGCAGAAUUCAGUGAAUCAUCGAAUCUUUGAACGCACAUUGCGCCCUUUGGUAUUCCAAAGGGCAUGCCUGUUCGAGCGUCAUUUGUACCCUCAAGCUUUGCUUGGUGUUGGGCGUUUUUGUCUUUGGUCGCCCAAAGACUCGCCUUAAAGUGAUUGGCAGCCGGCCUUUCUGGUUUCGCAGCGCAGCACAUUUUUGCGCUUGCCAUCAGCAAAACGGCAAUCCAUCAAGCCUCCUUCUCACGUUUGACCUCGGAUCAGGUAGGGAUACCCGCUGAACUUAAGCAUAUCAAUAAGCGG
Molecule: ribosomal RNA, 542 nt
Filed under: Bipolaris sp. G32-118
Lineage: Eukaryota; Fungi; Ascomycota; Dothideomycetes; Pleosporales; Pleosporaceae
Description: eukaryotic LSU rRNA
Rfam family: 5.8S ribosomal RNA (bases 173-326)
Source: RNAcentral